CCUACGGGUGGCAGCAGUGAGGAAUAUUGGUCAAUGGACGAGAGCCUGAACCAGCCAAGUAGCGUGAGGGAAGACGGUCCUAUGGAUUGUAAACCUCUUUUGUCGGGGAACAAAAGACGCCACGCGUGGCGUUCUGAGAGUACCCGAAGAAAAAGCAUCGGCUAACUCCGUGCCAGCAGCCGCGGUAAUACGGAGGAUGCGAGCGUUAUCCGGAUUUAUUGGGUUUAAAGGGUGCGAAGGCGGAAGGUUAAGUCAGUGGUAAAAUUGAGAGGCUCAACCUCUUAGAGCAGUUGAAACUGGUGGUCGUGAGUGCGCUAGAAGUAUGCGGAAUGCGUGGUGUAGCGGUGAAAUGCAUAGAUAUCACGAAGAACUCCGAUUGCGAAGGCAGCAUACCGGCGUUCAACUGACACUGAUGCACGAAAGUGUGGGUAUCGAACAGGAUUAGAUACCCUGGUAGUC
RNAcentral lists this ribosomal RNA (459 nucleotides) under uncultured bacterium. RNAcentral's name for it is "partial 16S ribosomal RNA". It matches the Rfam family "Bacterial small subunit ribosomal RNA", at positions 338 to 795 of the family's 1533-position model. The record is from RNAcentral.